UUGUGGUGAGCCGUGUUUGUAGACCGUUGCCGCCAUUAAAAGAUGGCGCCGGUCUCCGUUGUGGAUCUUGGUAAACAACUCCUUAUUAGGGAAAGUUGGUGCACUGUCCCUCAACACCCUAUGAGAAAACCACGCGUGGCAGCUUUGGAUUGGACUUGAGUAAGCUUUAUUAGGCUAUGCUUGGGCGCUCGGCGGGGGGUCGCUAGAAGAUGAUACAUGAAACAAGGCCUGAAUAAACUGCUGAAAGAAGAAUCCUGUGUCGUGUUUUCCCUUGCCGGCGAGGGGUCGCGACAAUUGGUGGCCCGGACGGGGAAUUAUAUUCCUCGAACCCAGGAUCCAGAACUUUCAGCAGUCAGGGUGGUGCACCGGUAAGUUCCCAGGUAAAGUGGGAAUCCGCAAGCAAAUAGCGGGGCGCUCUCUCUGUAAAUAGAGAGAGAGCGGGAAAAAGGACGCUCCCCUGUAAAAGGAAGAGAGCGGGGAUUUUUGUACUUUCACUUUCUUUAUAGCUCUAAAAACAUUAUGGGCGUUGCUUCUUCAAGCCCAAUUUUGUUGGCCCUAGAUGGAUUGCUACGUUCAAAAGGACUUAAGGUAAAGCAGAGCACUUUGCAGAUGUUUUUGAGAGAAGCUGCCGGGGCCGCGGCCGCGGUCUGGGCAUGAGGAUGGCGGUGGGCUCAGUCAAGAUGCAGCCGCCGUGCGAGAACCCGGCCCUGGCCGCGGCGGUGGCGGCGGCGGACAGCGCUCUGCGCCGCAGUCCCAGCGCCCGCGAGCCGGAGCGCGAGCAGCCGCCGGCGUCGCUGCGGCCGCGGCUGAAGGACCUGCCUGCACUGCUGCGGAGCGGGCUCACGCUGCGGAGAAAGCGGAGCGCCGCCGGGGGCCGGGACCGGACGGAGCCGGUGUGGGUUCCAGAACGCCUGACAAGAAGAGUCCCGACAAAUACAUCUGAGUUAAAUAUAACCACUUUGGCCAUUACUUCCCAGGUGUUAAUUCCGUUGUCUCCUUCUAAUGAGACCUCUAAUGCCACUCAUUUUAAGGCUUCUCCUUAUUGCACCCCUGAGUAUGGCUUCCCUCCUAUAUUUACACCUUGUCAAGAUCACUCUUGGGAGAAACAUCAGGUCGCCAAAGGUUUUUCCCUUUCCCCCUCUCUCAAAAGGUACUUGUAUAAUUCUUCCAACAAUAAUUCCUCUAUAGGAGCGGGUUGGUCCUGGUUUCAAUGGUUGAUUUCCAAUGAAAAGGGGGCCACAGCCGACAUCUCCGCUUUGGCUCAAUUACGAGGAGUCCAAAGUUGGCUGUUUAAUGUUUCUGGCAGUACCCAAGACUCGGGGUGGGGUAGGAGACUCAAAUCUAUUUCACACAAUGCACUAUUAGGUAAUGCAAUGUUACCCUC
This 1384-nucleotide long non-coding RNA is filed under the name Marmota monax (woodchuck). Lineage: Eukaryota; Metazoa; Chordata; Mammalia; Rodentia; Sciuridae. The record is from RNAcentral.